GAUGAACGCUGACAGAAUGCUUAACACAUGCAAGUCUUUGGCAAAGCUGUGCUUGCACAGUCUAGCCAAGGCGGACGGGUGAGUAACGCGUAAGGAACUUGCCCUGCAGUCAGGGAUAACAGACGGAAACGACUGAUAAAACCUGAUAAAGUCAGGCGGACUCAUGUCCAGCCUGAUGAAAAGAGAUGCUGCAGGAGAGCCUUGCGUCCUAUUAGCUUGUUGGUGGGGUAACGGCCCACCAAGGCGAUGAUAGGUAGCCGGCCUGAGAGGGUGGACGGCCACAAGGGGACUGAGAUACGGCCCUUACUCCUACGGGAGGCAGCAGUGGGGAAUAUUGGACAAUGGGGGCAACCCUGAUCCAGCAAUUCUGUGUGCACGAUGAAGGUUUUCGGAUUGUAAAGUGCUUUCAGCAGGGAAGAAAA
This 422-nucleotide ribosomal RNA is filed under the name Leptotrichia sp. oral taxon 462. Its description in RNAcentral is "bacterial SSU rRNA". It matches the Rfam family "Bacterial small subunit ribosomal RNA", at positions 28 to 451 of the family's 1533-position model. The record is from RNAcentral. Lineage: Bacteria; Fusobacteriati; Fusobacteriota; Fusobacteriia; Fusobacteriales; Leptotrichiaceae.